UAAAUCAACAUAAUUCCUAAAUAGAAUUUGAAUCUUCUUCUACUGCUUCAAGUUGCAGAUAUGUCCUUUUCAACACAUACAAGGUCCAUUUUCCACAGAUUAAAAUAAUGAAGAUUGGAUAUAAUUAACAUAGGGAGCUCACUAUUUGUUCACUACCUAAAUGAGUUAAUAUGGACUACAUAACAAUAUUAACAAAAACAUCAUCAUUGACCUUAACAUAAAAUUCGGCAUUCCAAUUCCCUACAGCAUUUAUAAAGAAUAAUUUUGUC
This 269-nucleotide unclassified non-coding RNA is filed under the name Hevea brasiliensis (rubber tree). Lineage: Eukaryota; Viridiplantae; Streptophyta; Magnoliopsida; Malpighiales; Euphorbiaceae. The record is from RNAcentral.